Molecule: non-coding RNA, 55 nt
Filed under: unclassified sequences
Description: L31-Actinobacteria ribosomal protein leader
Rfam family: L31-Actinobacteria ribosomal protein leader
Source: RNAcentral
CAGGUUCCGGUUCCCGCCCGGGGCGCCCCAGGGUGCCGACGGCGACCCGGCGACC